GCGCUAAGCCCGGCAGAGCCCGCCUCAGCACAGGAAGCAGCCGCUGCCGCAUACCCCGGCCCCGCCGCCAGCACCCGGCCUCUCCCCGCCACUGCCGCCCGCCCCGGCCCGGCUCCGCUCGCCUCAGCACGCGCCGCUCCUCGGCGCCGCGGCCGCCGGNNNNNNNNNNNNNNNNNNNNNNNNNNNNNNNNNNNGGGGGGGGGGGGGGGGCCGGGGAGCUGCGCCCGGAGGAGGCGGACGGGGCUGCGGCGGGAAGGACUCUGGGGCGGCCCCGCCGCCGCGGGGCUGGGUCGCGCCCGCCAAGGGCCCGUGUUGCGGCCCGGCGCGGCGGGAGCGGCCCGCCCGCUUCCUGGUGGACGGGCUCCGCGUCCCUGCCGGCGAGAGCCAAGACAAAAGAUGUAAAGGAUGUCAUCCAGCUGCAUGCCUUAAUCUGAAAAUAGAAAAGAACAAACAGGCAGAAAUUAGGAGAAAAGACAUCUUGUGUUCCAGUGCUGCCUUCUUUUGUAUGACCUGUAAGAAGGAGUAUAGAGCAAAAGACCUGUUAUCCUGUUACAGAUCUCCACCUAGCAAAGCUUUUAAUACCGUCUCAAAGGAAGCUCUCACAGGGAAGCUAGGGUGACAUAAAUUACACUGCUGGUCAGAGGAUGAAAGCUUGUGCUUGAAAAUGUGGACUAACUGGAGAGCUGGCAGGGAUGGAAUGGAUGGCCCGAGGGCGUGACCUGCGAGGGAAGAUUACACAGAUGAUGUGAAUCCUGAAGAAGAACUGAGGCGCGAAGUCUGGAUGCCCUCGAGUACGUGGCCGUUCAGCGGCAGCUGCGAAGGCGGCAGCAGGUUUCCCAGCAGCCCCCGCGUGAGCGCGCGCGGUCGUGGUGGCAACAAACAGCCGCCCGGCGGGUUCGAGUUUGACAUCGGGUAACGCGUCACCGCGCCCGGCAGCACCAGCCCUCGGCGGACCAGGGCGGCCGCCGUAACGCCAACGCGCCGUCCCGGAGCGCGGGACCCGCCUCCGCCCCCCGUCCCG
RNAcentral lists this long non-coding RNA (1021 nucleotides) under Otus sunia (Oriental scops-owl). RNAcentral describes it as "lncRNA (ENSOSUG00000006929.1)". The record is from RNAcentral. Lineage: Eukaryota; Metazoa; Chordata; Aves; Strigiformes; Strigidae.